This 514-nucleotide ribosomal RNA is filed under the name uncultured Russulales. RNAcentral's name for it is "eukaryotic LSU rRNA". The stretch from base 27 to 180 matches the Rfam family "5.8S ribosomal RNA". Lineage: Eukaryota; Fungi; Basidiomycota; Agaricomycetes; Agaricales. The record is from RNAcentral.
CGUAGGAAGUCGUAUGCGAUCAAUACAACUUUCAACAACGGAUCUCUUGGCUCUCGCAUCGAUGAAGAACGCAGCGAAAUGCGAUACGUAAUGUGAAUUGCAGAAUUCAGUGAAUCAUCGAAUCUUUGAACGCACCUUGCGCCCCUUGGCAUUCCGAGGGGCACACCCGUUUGAGUGUCGUGAAUYCCUCAACCUUCUGCAUUUCUUGAUGGCAGAAGGCUUGGACUUUGGAGGUUCUUGCCGGCCUCUCCUUCUAGAAGCCAGCUCCUCUUAAAUGGAUUAGCGGGGUCUGCCUUUAGUCGAUCCUUGACGUGAUAAGCCAUUUCUACGUCUUGGAUUCGACUCUUUUGAGACCUGCUUCUAAUCGUCUUAAUGGGGUGCACUUUUGGACCCACGAACCAUUUGACCUCAAAUCGGGUGAGACUACCCGCUGAACUUAAGCAUAUCAAUAAGCGGAGGAAAAGAAACUAACGAGGAUUCCCCUAGUAACUGCGAGUGAAGCGGGAAAAGCUCU